Molecule: long non-coding RNA, 435 nt
Filed under: Medicago truncatula (barrel medic)
Lineage: Eukaryota; Viridiplantae; Streptophyta; Magnoliopsida; Fabales; Fabaceae
Description: long non-coding RNA (MTRU_LNC002770)
Source: RNAcentral
AGGUUAGUUAACCUUUUAUGAAUUGAGUCAAUUCUUGAUGUGUGACUUGUUUUAUUAUGUUUUAUACAUUAUGCUAAAGUUUAUCCACCCUGUAAUUGCUUAUAGGCUAGAAUGUGGCAAUUGCAUUGCAUCUUGUGUUAAUAUAUAGGAUUGAAGCUGGUUUUUUGCACAUUGUGAUUGGUCCGCUGUAUCAAUAUAUCUGACCUGCUGGCUUCUAAAAUUUUGUAAAAAAAUUCGCUACUCAAAAUCGUAGUCUCGAUAUCAACAGACACUCGAUUUCGAUUUCAGACCAGCUGUAUAAGUUGAUUCUCUAUCCUCAAAAGUUGACUUAAAAUAAAGUAUACUCUAUUUUUUUUAAAAGGUUCACUAUUUUUUUGGUUCUAAGAAAUAUUGACUUUUAUUAUGCAAAUAUACAUACACUACAGUAGCAGGGUC